RNAcentral lists this ribosomal RNA (496 nucleotides) under uncultured bacterium. Its description in RNAcentral is "partial 16S ribosomal RNA". It matches the Rfam family "Bacterial small subunit ribosomal RNA", at positions 29 to 507 of the family's 1533-position model. The record is from RNAcentral.
AUGCACGCUGGCGGCGUGCCUCAUCCCUGCCAGUCGCGCGAACAGACGAGGAGCUUGCUCCUUUGACGUUAGCGGCGGACGGGUGAGUAACACGUGGAUAACCUACCUAUAAGACUGGGAUAACUUCGGGAAACCGGAGCUAAUACCGGAUAACAUGUUGAACCGCAUGGUUCAACAGUGAAAGACGGUCUUGCUGUCACUUAUAGAUGGAUCCGCGCCGCAUUAGCUAGUUGGUAAGGUAACGGCUUACCAAGGCAACGAUGCGUAGCCGACCUGAGAGGGUGAUCGGCCACACUGGAACUGAGACACGGUCCAGACUCCUACGGGAGGCAGCAGUAGGGAAUCUUCCGCAAUGGGCGAAAGCCUGACGGAGCAACGCCGCGUGAGUGAAGAAGGUCUUCGGAUCGUAAAACUCUGUUAUUAGGGAAGAACAAAUGUGUAAGUAACUAUGCACGUCUUGACGGUACCUAAUCAGAAAGCCACGGCUAACUACGUG